Long non-coding RNA from Hydra vulgaris (swiftwater hydra), 264 nucleotides. RefSeq lists it as uncharacterized. NCBI's taxonomy places the organism in Eukaryota, Metazoa, Cnidaria, Hydrozoa, Anthoathecata, Hydridae. The record is from RefSeq and is a predicted model, not a curated record.
AAGUUUAGAAAAAUAAUAAUAAAAUGGAGAAAAUGGAAAUUGUUGAUCCAAAGAAAUUAGCAUUGAGAAAAUACAGAAAAGGAAAUUUGAUGAUUAUGUCAGGUUUAGUUACUGCUGUUGGGGGAAUCUUUUUUUAUACCAUGUACAGUGUUUCUAAAGGAUCGUUUUCAAAAGAAGAAUUAAAUUCCAGAAGUAAAUAAGAGAUUUUUCCAAAAAGCGAAAAGGCAUUUGUGUAUAAUAUACAGAAAUAAAUUUGUUUGUGUA